GCCAUUCAUGGCCGCCGGGGGCUCUCAGCCCCGGGCCCGCGCCCGCCGGAGACACCACGAACUCUGUCUGAUCUAGUGAAGUCUGAGUUGAUUGUAUCGCAAUCAGUUAAAACUUUCAACAAUGGAUCUCUUGGUUCCGGCAUCGAUGAAGAACGCAGCGAAAUGCGAUAACUAGUGUGAAUUGCAGAAUUCCGUGAAUCAUCGAGUCUUUGAACGCACAUUGCGCCCCCUGGUAUUCCGGGGGGCAUGCCUGUCCGAGCGUCAUUGCUGCGCAUCAAGCACGGCUUGUGUGUUGGGUCGUCGUCCCCUCUCCGGGGGGGACGGGCCCCAAAGGCAGCGGCGGCACCGCGUCCGAUCCUCGAGCGUAUGGGGCUUUGUCACCGGCUCUGUAGGCCCGGCCGGCGCUUGCCGAACGCAAAUCAAUCUUUUCCAGGUUGACCUCGGAUCAGGUAGGGAUACCCGCUGAACUUAAGCAUAUCAAUAAGCGGAGGAAAAGAAACCAACCGGGAUUGCCUCAGUAACGGCGAGUGAAGCGGCAAGAGCUCAAAUUUGAAAGCUGGCUCCUAUGGGGUCCGCAUUGUAAUUUGCAGAGGAUGCUUCGGGUGCGGCCCCUGUCUAAGUGCCCUGGAACGGGGCGUCAGAGAGGGUGAGAAUCCCGUCUGGGAUGGGGUGUCCGCGCCCGUGUGAAGCUCCUUCGACGAGUCGAGUUGUUUGGGAAUGCAGCUCUAAAUGGGUGGUAAAUUUCAUCUAAAGCUAAAUACUGGCCGGAGACCGAUAGCGCACAAGUAGAGUGAUCGAAAGAUGAAAAGCACUUUGAAAAGAGAGUUAAAAAGCACGUGAAAUUGUUGAA
This 850-nucleotide ribosomal RNA is filed under the name uncultured fungus. RNAcentral describes it as "eukaryotic LSU rRNA". The stretch from base 436 to 850 matches the Rfam family "Eukaryotic large subunit ribosomal RNA", at positions 1 to 412 of the family's 3401-position model. Lineage: Eukaryota; Fungi. The record is from RNAcentral.